AUGAUCCCCAAGAGUGCUGUUGCUUCCUGUCCCUCGGACUACAGGCCUAUAAGUCUCAUGCACAUCAUUGCCAAAAUUCUUGGAAAACUGUUAGCUACUCACUUAGCGUCUGAACUCCACCACCUUGUGUCCUCCUCACAAAGUGCCUUUAUUAAGACAAGAUCGGUUCAAGACAAUUUUCUGUUUGUCCGUAACACUGUCAAAGAUGCGCACAUGAAGAAGAAGCCUCUAUUAUUCUUGAAGCUUGAUUUUGCAAAGGCCUUCGACUCCGUUCAUUGGGACUAUCUCCUUGAGGCCCUGAGAGCUUUUGGUUUCAGUCAAUGA
RNAcentral lists this ribosomal RNA (324 nucleotides) under Triticum aestivum (bread wheat). RNAcentral's name for it is "partial small subunit ribosomal RNA". Lineage: Eukaryota; Viridiplantae; Streptophyta; Magnoliopsida; Poales; Poaceae. The record is from RNAcentral.